UGGUAAAUGAUGACACCCACAAACGCAUUCCUUGGAAAAUCUGAACAAAAUGAGUGAGACCUCACUACGGUCUCCUCAUCGCAAACUGAGGUCC
Molecule: small nucleolar RNA, 94 nt
Filed under: Sus scrofa (pig)
Lineage: Eukaryota; Metazoa; Chordata; Mammalia; Artiodactyla; Suidae
Description: Small nucleolar RNA SNORD116 (ENSSSCG00015034040.1)
Rfam family: Small nucleolar RNA SNORD116
About the family: HBII-85 is a member of the C/D class of snoRNAs, which contain the C (UGAUGA) and D (CUGA) box motifs. HBII-85 is encoded in a tandemly repeated array with another C/D snoRNA, HBII-52, in the Prader-Willi syndrome (PWS) region of chromosome 15.
Source: RNAcentral